Molecule: ribosomal RNA, 583 nt
Filed under: uncultured Alternaria
Lineage: Eukaryota; Fungi; Ascomycota; Dothideomycetes; Pleosporales; Pleosporaceae
Description: eukaryotic LSU rRNA
Rfam family: 5.8S ribosomal RNA (bases 196-349)
Source: RNAcentral
UCCGUAGGUGAACCUGCGGAGGGAUCAUUACACAAAUAUGAAGGCGGGCUGGAACCUCUCGGGGUUACAGCCUUGCUGAAUUAUUCACCCUUGUCUUUUGCGUACUUCUUGUUUCCUUGGUGGGUUCGCCCACCACUAGGACAAACAUAAACCUUUUGUAAUUGCAAUCAGCGUCAGUAGCAAAUUAAUAAUUACAACUUUCAACAACGGAUCUCUUGGUUCUGGCAUCGAUGAAGAACGCAGCGAAAUGCGAUAAGUAGUGUGAAUUGCAGAAUUCAGUGAAUCAUCGAAUCUUUGAACGCACAUUGCGCCCUUUGGUAUUCCAAAGGGCAUGCCUGUUCGAGCGUCAUUUGUACCCUCAAGCUUUGCUUGGUGUUGGGCGUCUUGUCUCUAGCUUUGCUGGAGACUUGCCUUAAAGUAAUUGGCAGCCGGCCUACUGGUUUCGGAGCGCAGCACAAGUCGCACUCUCUAUCAGCAAAGGUCUAGCAUCCAUUAAGCCUUUUUUUCAACUUUUGACCUCGGAUCAGGUAGGGAUACCCGCUGAACUUAAGCAUAUCAAUAAGCGGAGGAAAAGAAACCAACC